GUCCAACUGACGAGUCCCGAGUAGGACGAAACGCGCGUCCUGGAU
This is a non-coding RNA of Schistosoma haematobium, 45 nucleotides long. Lineage: Eukaryota; Metazoa; Platyhelminthes; Trematoda; Strigeidida; Schistosomatidae. The record is from Rfam.